Molecule: ribosomal RNA, 243 nt
Filed under: Salmonella enterica
Lineage: Bacteria; Pseudomonadati; Pseudomonadota; Gammaproteobacteria; Enterobacterales; Enterobacteriaceae
Description: partial 23S ribosomal RNA
Rfam family: Bacterial large subunit ribosomal RNA
Source: RNAcentral
UAUGAACCGUUAUAACCGGCGAUUUCCGAAUGGGGAAACCCAGUGUGACUCGUCACACUAUCAUUAACUGAAUCCAUAGGUUAAUGAGGCGAACCGGGGGAACUGAAACAUCUAAGUACCCCGAGGAAAAGAAAUCAACCGAGAUUCCCCCAGUAGCGGCGAGCGAACGGGGAGGAGCCCAGAGCCUGAAUCAGCAUGUGUGUUAGUGGAAGCGUCUGGAAAGGCGCGCGAUACAGGGUGACA